This is a non-coding RNA of Pelobates cultripes (western spadefoot toad), 266 nucleotides long. The record is from the annotation of a GenBank genome assembly. Lineage: Eukaryota; Metazoa; Chordata; Amphibia; Anura; Pelobatidae.
GUGUUUUAUACCCCACCUCCUAUAGACUUCUAGCUCGUUUGAGCAGAGUCCUCUUCAACCUAUCAUUCCUGUAAGUUUUCUUGUAAUUGUCCUGUUUAUAGUUAAAUUCCCCCCUCUUGUAAUAUUGUAAAGCACUACGGAAUCUGUUGGCGCUAUAUAAGUUGCAAUAAUUAUAAUAUUAAUAAAACAGAAAUAAAAGUAAAGAGUACAAUGUGUAAAAUACACACACAAAUGGGUGACUACUAGUGAUGUCCCGAACGGUUGGC